GCAUUGGUGGUUCAGUGGUAGAAUUCUUGCCUUCAAAGCGGGAGGCCCGAGUUUGUUUCCCGGCCAAUGCA
Molecule: non-coding RNA, 71 nt
Organism: Salvelinus sp. IW2-2015
Lineage: Eukaryota; Metazoa; Chordata; Actinopteri; Salmoniformes; Salmonidae
Source: the annotation of a RefSeq genome assembly